RNAcentral lists this long non-coding RNA (511 nucleotides) under Homo sapiens (human). RNAcentral describes it as "non-protein coding lnc-TPM1-2:1". The record is from RNAcentral. Lineage: Eukaryota; Metazoa; Chordata; Mammalia; Primates; Hominidae.
AAAAAAUCAUUGACGUCAUAGAAUAUUCUUCUUCCUCUCAGGAGAAGACGGAAGCUGGAGUUGGACAUGGUUCAUAAAAGCCAGAAACACAAACCCGUGUGGACUCCGGGAGGGUGACUCAGGUCCUCCUUCCAUGUCUUGAGCACUGGCUCACCCAGGGGGUGAAAAAUUCCCGCCCCUGUUUGCACGCUUUCUUGCCUCCGUGUGUAAGCUCCUUGUACAACCCAGACCCAUCUUGUAUUUUGUGGCCCAGAAAACUGAACGAUUAUUUUGUUCCUCCGUAGUCCAAAGGGCAGAGUUGCGGAAGGCCGUCGGGGCUUGGUGAGCAGGGGCUGUAAUACAGUCUGUGGGCUCCUUACCCUGCAGAGGCUGUUUCAGCUCACACAGAGUCAUCCACACAAACCCACGGCUCCCAGUUGACAGUCAGUGGAAUGCUCGUCUCCUUAGCGUCCAGGGUGGGGAUUCUGCUGGAAUAAAGAGCUUCCUCAGUGACUCAUCUUUAGGUCCCACG